RNAcentral lists this ribosomal RNA (253 nucleotides) under uncultured bacterium. Its description in RNAcentral is "partial 16S ribosomal RNA". It matches the Rfam family "Bacterial small subunit ribosomal RNA", at positions 524 to 776 of the family's 1533-position model. The record is from RNAcentral.
UACGUAGGGUGCAAGCGUUAAUCGGAAUUACUGGGCGUAAAGCGUGCGCAGGCGGUUUUUUAAGACCGAUGUGAAAUCCCCGGGCUUAACCUGGGAACUGCAUUGGUGACUGCAAGGCUUGAGUGUGUCAGAGGGAGGUGGAAUUCCGCGUGUAGCAGUGAAAUGCGUAGAUAUGCGGAGGAACACCGAUGGCGAAGGCAGCCUCCUGGGAUAACACUGACGCUCAUGCACGAAAGCGUGGGGAGCAAACAGG